This 432-nucleotide ribosomal RNA is filed under the name uncultured bacterium. RNAcentral describes it as "bacterial SSU rRNA". It matches the Rfam family "Bacterial small subunit ribosomal RNA", at positions 29 to 504 of the family's 1533-position model. The record is from RNAcentral.
AACGAACGCUGGCGGCAGGCUUAACACAUGCAAGUCGAACGGGUGUAGCAAUACAUCAGUGGCAGACGGGUGAGUAACACGUGGGAACCUUCCUAGGGGUACGGAACAACUCAGGGAAACUUGAGCUAAUACCGUAUACGUCCGUAAGGAGAAAGAUUCAUCGCCCCUAGACGGGCCCGCGUCGGAUUAGGUAGUUGGUGGGGUAACGGCCUACCAAGCCUACGAUCCGUAGCUGAUCUGAGAGGANGAUCAGCCACACUGGACUGAGACACGGCCCAGACUCCUACGGGAGGCAGCAGUGGGGAAUCUUGGACAAUGGGCGGCAAGCCUGAUCCAGCCAUGCCGCGUGAGUGAAGAAGGCCUUAGGGUUGUAAAGCUCUUUUACCAGGGACGAUAAUGACGGUACCUGGAGAAUAAGCCCCGGCAAACUUC